UACGUAGGGGGCAAGCGUUGUCCGGAUUUAUUGGGCGUAAAGAGCGUGUAGGCGGCCAUACAGGUCAGCUGUGAAAACUCGAGGCUCAACCUCGAGACGUCGGUUGAAACCGUAUGGCUAGAGUCCGGAAGAGGAGAGUGGAAUUCCCGGUGUAGCGGUGAAAUGCGCAGAUAUCGGGAAGAACACCCGUGGCGAAGGCGGCUCUCUGGGACGGUACUGACGCUGAGACGGCGAAAGCGUGGGGAGCGAACAGG
This 254-nucleotide ribosomal RNA is filed under the name uncultured bacterium. RNAcentral describes it as "partial 16S ribosomal RNA". It matches the Rfam family "Bacterial small subunit ribosomal RNA", at positions 524 to 776 of the family's 1533-position model. The record is from RNAcentral.